UACGUAGGGUGCAAGCGUUAAUCGGAAUUACUGGGCGUAAAGCGUGCGCAGGCGGUUUUGCAAGACAGGUGUGAAAUACCCGGGCUCAACCUGGGAAUGGCAUUUGUGACUGCAAGGCUAGAGUGUGUCAGAGGGGGGUAGAAUUCCACGUGUAGCAGUGAAAUGCGUAGAGAUGUGGAGGAAUACCGAUGGCGAAGGCAGCCCCCUGGGAUAACACUGACGCUCAUGCACGAAAGCGUGGGGAGCAAACAGG
RNAcentral lists this ribosomal RNA (253 nucleotides) under uncultured bacterium. RNAcentral's name for it is "partial 16S ribosomal RNA". It matches the Rfam family "Bacterial small subunit ribosomal RNA", at positions 524 to 776 of the family's 1533-position model. The record is from RNAcentral.